Caenorhabditis elegans is the source of this 53-nucleotide non-coding RNA. Lineage: Eukaryota; Metazoa; Nematoda; Chromadorea; Rhabditida; Rhabditidae. The record is from Ensembl.
AAAGAAGAAGAGAGCGCAGACAACGAGAGUGUCUCGUUUCUCUGCGCUCUCUC